CCCUUAGAUGUCCUGGGCCGCACGCACGCUACACUGAGUGUCUGAGAUACGAGUCUGCCUGGUCCGGCAAGGUCUAGGUAAUCGCUAAAAGACACAUCAUGCUUGGGAUAGAUUAUUGCAAAUAUUAAUCUUGAACGAGGAAUUCCUAGUAAGCGCAAGUCAACAGCUUGCGUUGAUUACGUCCCUGCCCUUUGUACACACCGCCCGUCGCUACUACUGAUUGGAUGUUUAAGCGAGGUUCUCGAACUGCUAGCGACUUAGCUUCGGUGAGGUCGCAGUGUGGGAAGUGAACCUAGCUUUGGUGUCUAGAGGAAGUAAAAGUCGUAACA
This 329-nucleotide ribosomal RNA is filed under the name uncultured eukaryote. Its description in RNAcentral is "partial 18S ribosomal RNA". It matches the Rfam family "Eukaryotic small subunit ribosomal RNA", at positions 1470 to 1796 of the family's 1831-position model. The record is from RNAcentral.